Molecule: small nucleolar RNA, 128 nt
Filed under: Carlito syrichta (Philippine tarsier)
Lineage: Eukaryota; Metazoa; Chordata; Mammalia; Primates; Tarsiidae
Description: Small nucleolar RNA SNORA48 (ENSTSYG00000022331.2)
Rfam family: Small nucleolar RNA SNORA48
About the family: The snoRNA ACA 48 has been identified to guide pseudouridylation of the residue U3797 in the 28S rRNA subunit. Its host gene EIF4A1 (eukaryotic translation initiation factor 4A1) is shared with U67 and snoRNA mgU6-77
Source: Rfam by way of RNAcentral
AAUCCCUGACCUGGGUAGAGUGGCAUUUGGCACCAAUUUCAUAUUAGUCAGGGACUAAGCAACUUUGUGUUUGUCCCGACUUGGCUUUUGUUCUGUGCCCAUGCCUGGUUGGUGGCUUAGACACAUGG